Molecule: ribosomal RNA, 432 nt
Filed under: Streptomyces sp. R-45857
Lineage: Bacteria; Bacillati; Actinomycetota; Actinomycetes; Kitasatosporales; Streptomycetaceae
Description: bacterial SSU rRNA
Rfam family: Bacterial small subunit ribosomal RNA
Source: RNAcentral
GGCUCAGGACGAACGCUGGCGGCGUGCUUAACACAUGCAAGUCGAACGAUGAACCACUUCGGUGGGGAUUAGUGGCGAACGGGUGAGUAACACGUGGGCAAUCUGCCCUUCACUCUGGGACAAGCCCUGGAAACGGGGUCUAAUACCGGAUACCACUACCACGGGCAUCUGUGGUGGUUGAAAGCUCCGGCGGUGAAGGAUGAGCCCGCGGCCUAUCAGCUUGUUGGUGAGGUAAUGGCUCACCAAGGCGACGACGGGUAGCCGGCCUGAGAGGGCGACCGGCCACACUGGGACUGAGACACGGCCCAGACUCCUACGGGAGGCAGCAGUGGGGAAUAUUGCACAAUGGGCGAAAGCCUGAUGCAGCGACGCCGCGUGAGGGAUGACGGCCUUCGGGUUGUAAACCUCUUUCAGCAGGGAAGAAGCGAAAGU